ACCAAUGAUGAGACAGUGUUUAUGAACAAAAGAUCAUGAUUAAUCCAGUUCUGCACAAAACACUGAGGUCCAUUAGAAGACAAUAGGUCUUGGCUGUUUCAUUCCUUUUAAGAGCUGUUUAAUAUUCCACGGAGCCCUGGGCUCCCCCAGUGUUGCCUGGGUCUGACUUUGCCUCAGUGAAAACUGCCUCGAAUUCUUUCUUGCACCGAUGGGCAGAUGGGCAGUGUCGGAGGAUCGUGUCAUCUGUCCCGUGGCGCUGGUUGGCUUGGUCAAGUCAGUGUUCAAACUAUCUCCUGCUCUUUCAAGGGGAUCUGGGGCUCUAGAAGAUUAGAGGACUUGGAGAGGUUAGUGACUUGCUCGAGGUCGGCUAGGAAGCAAGACCCAGGAUUCCAACUCAGGUCUGUGUGAUUCCUCUGCAAAAUGGAGAGGUGGAAGGAUGGAUGUCAGGUCUGAUGGAUGGAUGGAUGCCUACAUCAAGAUACAUGCAUAGAUGGAGAGAUGGCUGGCUACCUCAUGAAUGCUGGACUGUUGUGAGAAUCAAACGAGAUAAUGUAUGCUGAGGCAUGCUGUGAACACUACGUGCUGGGUACAGGAGAAUGGAGGCUCCAGAGUGAAAUUAAUGACACUUUGUCGAUGAAGAUCUUGAUUGUGACCUCUGUGGAAAAUGAGCCAUGAACCAACCAAUCCUGAGAGAAUAUGGAAGACACUGUCAGUGUUGGAAGAUGGUGGUUUUAUCACUUUUCAUUGCACUGUCUUUAAAACAUGGGCAAAUUGACUAAAAGAAGACUACAGAAGAAAUAAUGGUGAUUGUGAAUUUGAAUGAAAACCAUGUAGCUGGUCUUAUUAUUCUCUAAUCAUGAAGACCAUUAUUGUUAUUUGUGGACUAAGGAGCAGAAAGACUGAUAGUGGACAUAGGCCAGCUGAUUUAAUAAUUUAAGAAAGAACUGUUAUCCUGAGUAAGGAGCAUAGAGACAAAUAUAAAAUGAACGCACUCUACCUGAUUUAAUUAUAGUCUUCUGGUGAAGAUCUUGCUGUUAUCUCUGUGAAUCAGGAGAGAAGAGAUUGAUGAAUAGACGAGAUUGGAUUUGGUCAUUUCCCCAAGGUGAAGAGCAUGGCGAUUUCUUCUGUGGUAAGGAGCAAUAAUGAAGACCAUGGUUGAUUUAAUCAGUCUCUGCUGAUGAAGAUCUUGGCUGUUACCUUUGUGUAAUGAAUGCGCAAUGAUUCAAUUAUUCUCCAGCGAGGAAGAUCAUGGUUGUUGUCUGUUUGAGUAAUGAGUGUAGAAACCUAUAAUGGAGGCGUGAUGGCUGAUGCAAUCAUUUUCCACUGAUGAAGGUUUUGAUGGCCACCUGUAAUGAACAGCCCCAUCUGAUUUAAUCACUGUGCAAUGACCGUGAACUGUACAGUUACCUCCGUGUGUCACAGGAAGACUCUUUUGACUUAAGCACCCUUCCAUGGUCAUGAGGUUUCUGGUUGCCUCUGUGUGUUAGAAGCUUGGAGACCAAUGCCUUCUGCUGUGAUCGCGUUCUCCACAGUUGCCUCUGGGUAGGAGCCUGGACACUAAUAGAAAAUGGAUGCACUUGAGCCGACCUAAGCAUUCAUGGUCAUGAGAUUUGUGGUUGCCACUGUUGGUUAGGAGCAUAGAGAUCAGUAAUGGACACACCUGGGCUGGCAGAACAUCUUGCCUUGAUCUGGAGCCCCAUGUCUGCCCCUCUGUAGAGGUGCACAUGGGCCAAUGAUGGAUGCAAUGAGCUGAUCAUUUUGCUGUGAUCAAGGCUAUGUUGCCUCUGUGUUAGGCCAAUGGUUGAUGUUCAUGGGUGAUUGAUCAUCCUGUAGCGACGGUGGUAUUGACUGUUCCCCAGAGGACAAGGAGUGUGUUCUUAUGUAAGUCAUAGUUGACAUUCUUGUUUUUGAUUGGGUAGUUUGCCUGUUCAUUGAUGUUCAUAGUACUAUAGAAGGUAGAUAAAUGGCCACAUACCUAAAGAAAAUCAAAGGGGACAAAAAGUGAGAGUCUGUUAUAAACUAAGGAUUAUAAUUAAUGUAAUUCAGUACAA
RNAcentral lists this long non-coding RNA (2051 nucleotides) under Homo sapiens (human). RNAcentral's name for it is "HSALNT0379226". The stretch from base 133 to 254 matches the Rfam family "Maternally expressed 8 exon 2". The record is from RNAcentral. Lineage: Eukaryota; Metazoa; Chordata; Mammalia; Primates; Hominidae.